GACUCCUCCUCUUCCUGUGUGGAACCUGGAAUUCAAACGGCUGGGUGGGAAGCAGGCUAGCAGGGGCCUCUGGCCUUGCUGAGGGUCCCUGUUUCCCGCUUUCCUUCCUUUUCACCCAGUAAAACCCUGCUUUACUCACCCUUCAAACCAUCUAUGAGCCUAAAUUGUCAUGGUCGUGGAACGGACAAGGACCCAGUCUUCAGCUGAACUAAGGGAAAGUCCCGCUUUUUGGCGCGCAACAGGGGAGCUCAAGAAACAGGCCUCACUCACGACAAAGGGAAGUAACCACGCCCCUAAGAAGGCACACCUUUGUUGCAGUUAGUACACAAUUAAAGCAACUCUCCAAGUUUUACCUUAAAGUUCAAAAUUGCUAGGGGUUGAAACUACUAGAAAUGUCUUUACAUGCAAGCCUUUAAUAAUUAAGUAAGGUAUACUCCUGUGAUCAAGACUUUGAGCAUAUUUGUUUCUCUCUGCCUGGUUCCUCUAGAAAUUGGAAACUAUCAGAACACAGACAAACUCCAUUUCCCAAUCCCUUUGCAAUCUGCAUUGAACCAUGAAUCAAGUUCUUGAUAAAGGAGUGAAAAUGGAUGACAUUUAAGGCACAUCUGAAGAUGGGGAAACCACAGCACAGAAAAAGGCUGGGCCCUUGAAUCAAUAAAUGAGGGAGAACUACUCAAGAGAACAAAACCACCAGCAAUAUCCACCUGUAUUUGUCUUUUCAUA
RNAcentral lists this long non-coding RNA (723 nucleotides) under Pongo abelii (Sumatran orangutan). Its description in RNAcentral is "lincRNA". Lineage: Eukaryota; Metazoa; Chordata; Mammalia; Primates; Hominidae. The record is from RNAcentral.